RNA transcript from Rhineura floridana, 2031 nucleotides. It is a transcript of the gene named protein tyrosine phosphatase non-receptor type 2, with no coding region annotated. The transcript is spliced from 11 exons. The record is from RefSeq and is a predicted model, not a curated record. NCBI's taxonomy places the organism in Eukaryota, Metazoa, Chordata, Lepidosauria, Squamata, Rhineuridae.
UGGUAUGCGGUAACGACAGGUUGCUGCGCAUGCGUCUGGCGAGAACGCCAGAAAGCCGCUAGGGCUGCGUGCGUGGUGCGGUACGUAGUCAAAGGUAACGCGAUCGGUAAAGUGGGCGGGUUGUCGCCCGCGCCCUGUCAGUAGCGGGAGAUAGGUAAUGAACUUGUUGGCUCCCAGCGGCCUUUUUCUCUCCGGCUGUCGCCGCCAUCAUGUCCGUCACCGCCACUAUAGAGCAAGAGUUCCAGGAGAUCGAUGCCGCUAACGGCUGGCAGCCCCGGUACCUGGAUAUUCGGCACCAGUCCAGUGAUUAUCCGCAUAAAGUUGCAAAGUAUGCAGAAAACCGAAAUCGUAACAGAUAUAGAGAUGUUAGUCCAUAUGAUCACAGUCGUGUAAUACUGCAGAACACAGACAACGAUUACAUCAAUGCAAGCUUGGUGGUUAAUGAAGAAGCUCAGAGAAAUUAUAUAUUAACACAGGGUCCACUUCCUAAUACAUGCUGCCAUUUCUGGCUAAUGGUAUGGCAACAAAAGACCAAAGCAGUUGUCAUGCUAAACAGAAUUGUUGAGAAAGAGUCGGUUAAAUGUGCACAAUACUGGCCGACAAAAGAGGAGGAACAAAUGAUGUUCAAAGAAACAGGAUUUUGUGUGAGAUUAAAAUCUGAAGGUGUUAAAUCUUACUAUACAGUACGGCAACUUCAGCUAGAAAACAUCAACACUGGUGAGACCAGGAUGAUAUUCCAUUUUCAUUAUACUACAUGGCCAGACUUUGGAGUUCCUGAAUCCCCAGCUUCAUUCCUCAACUUUUUGUUUAAAGUCAGAGAAUCUGGAUCGUUGAAUCCUGAACAUGGACCUGCAGUCAUUCACUGCAGUGCUGGAAUUGGGCGCUCUGGUACAUUUUCAUUGGUAGACACAUGCCUUGUCUUGAUGGAAAAAAGAGAAGACCCACUUUCUGUAGACAUUAAGCAGGUUUUAUUGAAUAUGAGAAAAUAUCGAAUGGGACUUAUUCAGACUCCUGAUCAGCUACGAUUUUCAUACCUGGCUGUAAUAGAAGGAGCAAAAUAUAUAAUGGGUGAUUCUACUAUACAGAAUCAGUGGAAGGAACUCUCAAAAGAGGACCAGGCACCAAGUUCUGAUCGCUCUCCUCCAUGCCCAACCAAGCUAACUACAGAGAGGUAUAAUGGGACUAAUGUGGGAUUAGAAAAUCAGGAGCAAGCUGAGAACAUUAUAAAUACUGAUUUCUCUUCUUCAGUACAAAAUACUGCAGAUGCAAGUACUGACAUGGCUGUUCGAAAACGGCUGAGAGAGGGCAGGAAAGCUAACACAGCACAGAUGGUGCAGCAGAUGAAGCAUAGGCUGAGUGAGGCUGAACAAAAAAGGAAAAGGUGGUUAUAUUGGAAACCUAUUCUCACUAAGAUUGGGUUUGGUUCAGCCGUUUUCAUUGGAGUUUAUUCUUGCUGGAAAUUGUACUUCCAAAGUGCUCUCAUAUAACUGUAUUUUUAAAAGCUACAUUUGUACAAACUUCUCUGACAGAAAGAGUAUGCAUUAGUUAUCGGUCAUCCAUCCCCAACAUUUCAAGAGUGAUUUGGAAAUAUACUGACAUCACCAUACCAACUUAGUGAUUAAGUGAAUACUUUGAGAUAUUUGAUGUUAAGCAAAUAGGGGCUGCUUCUCAAUUUCUACUCUGCCAAGAGUGACCGACACCUAGAUCACCAAGACUUGUGAAUAUUCUGCAGCUAUAAAUUACAUAAUAUUGGCAUGCAAAGCAGGACAUGACCCUUCUUCAGGAAAAAAACUGAGGUCUGAGCAAUACACAAGUGGCCUCAUAAAUAUCUGUUUACAACGUAAACAACAACCAGGGAAUGAAGUACAUCACCAGCAAGAGACUCUUCAAAAUGAAAUAAUUUGUCUUAAGUGUUCUAUGCUUGUAUUAACUGUAGAGAGAUGCAAGAGAUCACAUUAGAAAAUACUUUGUACUGCCAUUCUUACUGUAUUUUUUAUACUUCUGGCAGCAUUAAAUAUUUUUUUUAAUUGA